RNAcentral lists this ribosomal RNA (164 nucleotides) under Eurydochus bracteatus. RNAcentral describes it as "5.8S ribosomal RNA". It matches the Rfam family "5.8S ribosomal RNA". Rfam says of the family: 5.8S ribosomal RNA (5.8S rRNA) is a component of the large subunit of the eukaryotic ribosome. The record is from RNAcentral. RNAcentral also lists the same sequence under 1 other name. Lineage: Eukaryota; Viridiplantae; Streptophyta; Magnoliopsida; Asterales; Asteraceae.
AAAACGACUCUCGGCAACGGAUAUCUCGGCUCACGCAUCGAUGAAGAACGUAGCAAAAUGCGAUACCUGGUGUGAAUUGCAGAAUCCCGUGAACCAUCGAGUUUUUGAACGCAAGUUGCGCCCGAAGCCAUCCGGCCGAGGGCACGUCUGCCUGGGCGUCACGC